AGAGUUUGAUCAUGGCUCAGAGUGAACGCUGGCGGUAGGCCUAACACAUGCAAGUCGAACGGCAGCACAGGAGAGCUUGCUCUCUGGGUGGCGAGUGGCGGACGGGUGAGGAAUACAUCGGAAUCUACUUUUUCGUGGGGGAUAACGUAGGGAAACUUACGCUAAUACCGCAUACGACCUACGGGUGAAAGCAGGGGACCUUCGGGCCUUGCGCGAUUAAAUGAGCCGAUGUCGGAUUAGCUAGUUGGAGGGGUAAUGGCCCACCAAGGCGACGAUCCGUAGCUGGUCUGAGAGGAUGAUCAGCCACACUGGAACUGAGACACGGUCCAGACUCCUACGGGAGGCAGCAGUGGGGAAUAUUGGACAAUGGGCGCAAGCCUGAUCCAGCCAUACCGCGUGGGUGAAGAAGGCCUUCGGGUUGUAAAGCCCUUUUGUUGGGAAAGAAAACUUACCGAUUAAUACUCGGUGAGAAUGACGGUACCCAAAGAAUAAGCACCGGCUAACUUCGUGCCAGCAGCCGCGGUAAUACGAAGGGUGCAAGCGUUACUCGGAAUUACUGGGCGUAAAGCGUGCGUAGGUGGUUGCUUAAGUCUGCUGUGAAAGCCCUGGGCUCAACCUGGGAAUUGCAGUGGAUACUGGGCGACUAGAGUGUGGUAGAGGAUAGUGGAAUUUCCGGUGUAGCAGUGAAAUGCGUAGAGAUCGGAAGGAACAUCUGUGGCGAAGGCGACUAUCUGGGCCAACACUGACACUGAGGCACGAAAGCGUGGGGAGCAAACAGGAUUAGAUACCCUAGUAGUCC
This 799-nucleotide ribosomal RNA is filed under the name uncultured bacterium. RNAcentral describes it as "bacterial SSU rRNA". It matches the Rfam family "Bacterial small subunit ribosomal RNA", at positions 8 to 796 of the family's 1533-position model. The record is from RNAcentral.